GGAGAGUUGGCUGAGUGGUCGAAAGCGGUGGUCUUGAAAACCAUUGACUCGAAAGGGUCCGGGGGUUCGAAUCCCUCACUCUCCGCCA
RNAcentral lists this transfer RNA (88 nucleotides) under Thiothrix nivea. Its description in RNAcentral is "tRNA-Ser". It matches the Rfam family "tRNA". Rfam says of the family: Transfer RNA (tRNA) molecules are approximately 80 nucleotides in length. Their secondary structure includes four short double-helical elements and three loops (D, anti-codon, and T loops). Further hydrogen bonds mediate the characteristic L-shaped molecular structure. tRNAs have two regions of fundamental functional importance: the anti-codon, which is responsible for specific mRNA codon recognition, and the 3' end, to which the tRNAs corresponding amino acid is attached (by aminoacyl-tRNA synthetases). tRNAs cope with the degeneracy of the genetic code in two manners: having more than one tRNA (with a specific anti-codon) for a particular amino acid; and 'wobble' base-pairing, i.e. permitting non-standard base-pairing at the 3rd anti-codon position. Lineage: Bacteria; Pseudomonadati; Pseudomonadota; Gammaproteobacteria; Thiotrichales; Thiotrichaceae. The record is from RNAcentral.